Molecule: ribosomal RNA, 253 nt
Filed under: uncultured prokaryote
Description: partial 16S ribosomal RNA
Rfam family: Bacterial small subunit ribosomal RNA
Source: RNAcentral
ACGUAGGGUGCGAGCGUUGUCCGGAAUUAUUGGGCGUAAAGGGCUCGUAGGCGGUUUGUCGCGUCGGGAGUGAAAUCCACUGGCUUAACUGGUGGCUUGCUUUCGAUACGGGCAGACUGGAGGUAUGCAGGGGAGAACGGAAUUCCUGGUGUAGCGGUGAAAUGCGCAGAUAUCAGGAGGAACACCGGUGGCGAAGGCGGUUCUCUGGGCAUGUCCUGACGCUGAGGAGCGAAAGUGUGGGGAGCGAACAGGA